AUCGUUUGUCCACGUACUGACAGAUCCUUUGCCAAAAGCUUCAAAUUCUGCGGGAGACACACAAAAGGUUUGCACCGAUGCUUACUAUCUUCUGACGCUCUUGAAUCUACCGGGGAAGUGCAGAUGAAACCCACGGCAAAAGUUGGAAACCAACACGCCGUUUCGCUUUAACAAUAAAUGCAGCCAAGGACACGUUCAAGCAUUAUUGUUUCACGCGGGCUUUCCGAGAGAACAAAUGCGCUGCAAAUGCAACUCGGGUGUGGGCGGCAGCUCUCGUGCUCCAAUGUCGUUUUCUUUGUACACCAUUGACGCUACACUGGUUAGACCAGUGUGUAGAACUUACUUCUAGCGUGCCAAAGCAAGGUGUACGUUGAAAAAUCAAGCAUGUAGUACAUGGCGCAUAUGAUGAGGC
Pseudomyrmex gracilis is the source of this 412-nucleotide long non-coding RNA. RefSeq lists it as uncharacterized. NCBI's taxonomy places the organism in Eukaryota, Metazoa, Arthropoda, Insecta, Hymenoptera, Formicidae. The record is from RefSeq and is a predicted model, not a curated record. The transcript is spliced from 3 exons.